GUGAUGCCAUCAGGUGUGGUAUGUGAUCACAGGCAACUCAGGAACAGCUCUCCAGCCCCAGGACUUCUGCUGGAACCGCUGGGAGUUGGAAGCUUUCUUCCCACUGAGGGGCAAACCUUCUAGGUAUCUGAAGAUGUUGAAGACCAUUUCCUGGAACAGCAGAGGUAAAUGCCCAGAGGAUGAGAACACAUAGCCAUUAGGAGAGCCUGAAAGUUCAGUGUGACUGAAAGAUGAAGUUCAAGAGAAGGGACAAACUGCAAAACACAAGCUGGAGAGUUUUAGAGAGACUGUGGAAUGGAAUGACUCUCCAGAGCUGCAGAUUGAAGGCAUAUUUUCAUCUGACUUUGGUGAUUAUGUUUCCAAUCUCUCUGGGAAUAAGAUCUCAAUGGCGGGAACACCUUCAUGGCCCCUUUAUAGCUGGAUGAUCAUUUCCUGUUCUCUCCACCAUGGCCACCUGGUCCAAGCCACCAUCUUCAUGCACCUGGAUACCUGCCAUAACCUCAGCUGACCUUUCCUGUGUCCAUUCUUGUUCCUUUGGGCCCAGUCUCCUCGCUCAUAGCAGCAGAAUGAGUCUAUUAAAAAGUGAAACAAUUUC
Molecule: long non-coding RNA, 595 nt
Filed under: Homo sapiens (human)
Lineage: Eukaryota; Metazoa; Chordata; Mammalia; Primates; Hominidae
Description: HSALNT0371413
Source: RNAcentral